Non-coding RNA from Ipomoea nil (Japanese morning glory), 95 nucleotides. The record is from Rfam. Lineage: Eukaryota; Viridiplantae; Streptophyta; Magnoliopsida; Solanales; Convolvulaceae.
CUGACCUUAGCUCAGUUGGUAGAGUGGUGGACUGUAGUUGGACUAAUCUAAAUUGGAAAUCCUUAGGUCGCUGGUUUUGAUUCCGGCAGGUUGGA